RNAcentral lists this ribosomal RNA (253 nucleotides) under uncultured bacterium. RNAcentral's name for it is "partial 16S ribosomal RNA". It matches the Rfam family "Bacterial small subunit ribosomal RNA", at positions 524 to 776 of the family's 1533-position model. The record is from RNAcentral.
UACGAAGGGGACUAGCGUUGUUCGGAUUUACUGGGCGUAAAGCGCGCGUAGGCGGAUCGCUAAGUCAGGGGUGAAAUCCCGGGGCUCAACCCCGGAACUGCCUUUGAUACUGGGUAUCUCGAGUCCGGAAGAGGUGAGUGGAAUUCCGAGUGUAGAGGUGAAAUUCGUAGAUAUUCGGAGGAACACCAGUGGCGAAGGCGGCUCACUGGUCCGGUACUGACGCUGAGGUGCGAAAGCGUGGGGAGCAAACAGG